CGCGUAGGCGGCCUGUUAAGUCAGAUGUGAAAGCCCGGGGCUUAACCCCGGAAGUGCAUUUGAAACUAUCAGGCUUGAGUAUGGGAGAGGGAAGUGGAAUUCCUGGUGUAGAGGUGAAAUUCGUAGAUAUCAGGAGGAACACCGGUGGCGAAGGCGACUUCCUGGACCAAUACUGACGCUGAGGCGCGAAGGCGUGGGUAGCAAACA
RNAcentral lists this ribosomal RNA (207 nucleotides) under uncultured bacterium. Its description in RNAcentral is "partial 16S ribosomal RNA". It matches the Rfam family "Bacterial small subunit ribosomal RNA", at positions 568 to 774 of the family's 1533-position model. The record is from RNAcentral.